UACGUAGGUGGCGAGCGUUGUCCGGAAUCACUGGGCGUAAAGCGCACGUAGGCGGACUCUUAAGUCGGUGGUGAAAUCCUGGAGCUCAACUCCAGAACUGCCUUCGAUACUGAGAGUCUCGAGUCCGGGAGAGGUGAGUGGAACUGCGAGUGUAGAGGUGAAAUUCGUAGAUAUUCGCAAGAACACCAGUGGCGAAGGCGGCUCACUGGCCCGGUACUGACGCUGAGGUGCGAAAGCGGGGGGAGCAAACAGG
Molecule: ribosomal RNA, 253 nt
Filed under: uncultured bacterium
Lineage: Bacteria
Description: partial 16S ribosomal RNA
Rfam family: Bacterial small subunit ribosomal RNA
Source: RNAcentral